RNAcentral lists this unclassified non-coding RNA (396 nucleotides) under Hevea brasiliensis (rubber tree). Lineage: Eukaryota; Viridiplantae; Streptophyta; Magnoliopsida; Malpighiales; Euphorbiaceae. The record is from RNAcentral.
UAACAAUGUAUGAGGUAACUGUAUGGUGCAAAGUGGUAGGCUAGCUUGAUACAUACCUAUGUAUAAUAUUAUAAUGAAGUCUUUAUCUCUUGCUCAAAUAUUUCUAUUCAUUAUACAGAAGAAAAAGUCGCUCAAUUUCUCCAAGACGUAAUAGAAGUCGUUCAAGAACACCAAGACGCCAUAGAAGUCGUUCUCCAAUUUCAAGGAGUUACAAGAAGCAAAGACGGCGAAGUUCCUCAUCAUCUCUACAUCGUAGAUCUUCUAGUUCUAGCCUUGGAUCCAUUGAGCAAAAAAGUACCAGUGAAAAAUUGAAAAAGGAGGAGGAAGAAAGAAAAAGGUAUAUUAACUGGCUCACUAACUUUAUGUUCUUUUUUCUGCCUCUCAAUUGUCCUUGGG